GCUGAAUGUAUUGACAUGUAAUUUCUACAAUAAUAAGCCAAAAUACUCACAUGUUGCACAUAAAAAUCUUCUUUUUAUCAAAUUUUAUUACAUUUUGAAGUGGCACAGAAGCCCGAAAACGCCCGGUGUUUAUGUUCGACGCCGGAAGCAUACCUAUGACGUCACCUAGUGUAGAGACCAAAGAAGAUAACUUCUUUUCGC
RNAcentral lists this long non-coding RNA (201 nucleotides) under Mytilus galloprovincialis (Mediterranean mussel). Lineage: Eukaryota; Metazoa; Mollusca; Bivalvia; Mytilida; Mytilidae. The record is from RNAcentral.